Molecule: ribosomal RNA, 490 nt
Filed under: uncultured bacterium
Lineage: Bacteria
Description: partial 16S ribosomal RNA
Rfam family: Bacterial small subunit ribosomal RNA
Source: RNAcentral
AUUGAACGCUGGCGGCAGGCCUAACACAUGCAAGUCGAACGGUAACAGGAAACAGCUUGCUGUUUCGCUGACGAGUGGCGGACGGGUGAGUAAUGUCUGGGAAACUGCCUGAUGGAGGGGGAUAACUACUGGAAACGGUAGCUAAUACCGCAUAACGUCGCAAGACCAAAGAGGGGGACCUUCGGGCCUCUUGCCAUCGGAUGUGCCCAGAUGGGAUUAGCUAGUAGGUGGGGUAACGGAUCACCUAGGCGACGAUCCCUAGCUGGUCUGAGAGGAUGACCAGCCACACUGGAACUGAGACACGGUCCAGACUCCUACGGGAGGCAGCAGUGGGGAAUAUUGCACAAUGGGCGCAAGCCUGAUGCAGCCAUGCCGCGUGUAUGAAGAAGGCCUUCGGGUUGUAAAGUACUUUCAGCGGGGAUGAAGGGAGUAAAGUUAAUACCUUUGCUCAUUGACGUUACCCGCAGAAGAAGCACCGGCUAACUCCGCG